This is a non-coding RNA of Equus caballus (horse), 1199 nucleotides long. The record is from RefSeq and is a predicted model, not a curated record. Lineage: Eukaryota; Metazoa; Chordata; Mammalia; Perissodactyla; Equidae.
UGGAUGGGGGUCACCCAAGACUGGUGUAGAGCAUGCACAGUGAAGAAGACAGAGCUCCAAGGAACGCUGCAUUAUCCCCAGGCACUAUCUCACUGAUCCUUUUAACAACUCUGUGAGUUGAGUUUUAUCUUUUCUAUUUUCUUCAGAGUCAAUUGAGUAGACAACCAGAGGCAUUUCCUAGCUCCCAGCCUUGGGAGCCCCCACCCCCCCAACUUGUGUAAUAUCUUGGACAGUGUGUCAAAUCUGCUGACAUGUGGGUCACACAUUUAUUACACGAGGUGCACUUGGUGCGUGGAAGCCUGUGGAGAAAGUUUGAGUACUGUCAUGAGCCUGUUUUUAAUGCUAGAAUUAUGUAAUAUCUCUUAUCCAGGUUAAAAUGAGAAACUCCCCCAUUUUUGUAAUUUUUGACGUAAGGAUAUUUGGGCUGACACUGCACUUUAGACCGAGAGCCAGGAAAGUUAUCAGCAUGGUGGAAGUCAAGCUGUAGAACCCCAGAGAUCAGACACGACAUAAAAAUGGUCUUUUGAUCCAUUAAGGUGAAGAAAAUAAUUAAAUUUCUGCAUGUUCCUUCCAGUAAAAUAAUUAUUCAGGAGAAAAAGUGGUCAGACAAAGAAUCAUUCCACAAGGAGAAAUAUCAUAAAAUGCAAAGUAUUUUCUUAUUACUUUUUUACUACCUUUUUCGUAGGCGUUCACGGGAGGAAAAGGAAAAAAUUUCUACAGAGGCUUAAGAGAACCUUUCCAUGAGGGCUGAUCCCAAAUACCUAAGACAGAAUAGAGGCUUUUGAAAGGAACUUUUAAAAAUAACGGGAUACGCUGAAAAUAAUAUUUAACCCAGUGACUGCGCAUCAAAGUGAGAAGAUUAUAUGCUAGAAUGGCACAUGGCGUGCAUUCCACGGUCCGCAUAGCUGAUUGCCAUGCAGUGCCUUGGGAGCAAGCUCCAUGCUUUCAAUGCCAUUGUAUGAUGAGGAUCCAUCAAAUCUACUCAAGCAGAGGCGUGAUCAGAUCUAUGCUGCUGGAAUAUUCACAGGAGCUGCAGAGGAAACGACGGGAAUAAACGGAAGAGUUGGGGGUAAUGGAGGUAGACAGACCCAGCUAGGAUCUCACCGUUUAUCUGAAGAUUUGAGAACUUACUAAGAUGUAAAAGCAUAUGUAUAAGCUCUGGCUCCUAAUAGAUGACUCAGCAGAAGUUUGUUGAAUUC